Molecule: ribosomal RNA, 206 nt
Filed under: uncultured bacterium
Lineage: Bacteria
Description: partial 16S ribosomal RNA
Rfam family: Bacterial small subunit ribosomal RNA
Source: RNAcentral
GACGAACGCUGGCGGCGUGCUCAACACAUGCAAGUCGAGCGGUAAGGCCCUUUCGGGGUACGACGAGCGGCGAACGGGUGAGUAACACGUGGGUGACCUCGCCCUCAGCUCUGGGAUAAGCCUGGGAAACCGGGUCUAAUACCGGAUAUGACUCCAUGACGCAUGUUGUGGGGUGGAAAGCCUUGUGCGGCUGGGGAUGGGCCCGC